This 1689-nucleotide unclassified non-coding RNA is filed under the name Hevea brasiliensis (rubber tree). The record is from RNAcentral. Lineage: Eukaryota; Viridiplantae; Streptophyta; Magnoliopsida; Malpighiales; Euphorbiaceae.
GUUCAAACUUGUGUACGCUUCCACUAGGUACUUGCUACCUUUCACCAACGUAAAGACCAUAUAAGUCUCUUAUACUUUCUGGCUCCAUGAGGGCAAUAGAAAGUAACAAUAACUGAUAUAUUGAAUUCAAUCAAUCUCCAUAUGUGCUCGUAGGCAGAAACCGAAAUCAAAUUGAAACCUAUCCUCUAUGAUUUCCAGACCAUCACUGAACUUCUUGAUGAUGUGAGACAACUGAAAACUUGUACAUAUUGACCAAAAUCUGUACAGCUCAGUCAAGCCUCGAAAGAUACAUGGACGAUACUGAAAUUCCACUGUCCAGAUAUAACUUCAAAGCUCGAAUGAAGACAACAAGAAGAAACAUCGUUGCCCUUGUGUGGUUGUAUCUCCAACAUGUAUAUAAACUAUUGACUUGUCAUUGAAGUGAGAAUCAUUAUAAGUUCCUGAGUCCUCACUAGAAAAAGUCAUCUAAACACAUGAACGAGGAACUGAACUAUUGCGUUAACUGUUGCAACAAAAUGUUAGGAAGGCUUGUUUCCAUCAUAAGCUUUCUGGUCUCCACGAACAAAUAUUCUAUACAGCCUCAACCUCCUUAAGAGAGAGAAUAUCAUCACGUGGAUGAGCUUCUUCAACUUGGACAUCUACUUCAUCACCAAUUUGUACACCAAUAGACACCCACGAAGAAGCUUGAAUUCCAAUCUCCGUCAACAGUAUUGCGGCUAUUCGGUCUUUGAUGAAUCUAAGGACCAGGGCACGAUACCGUUUCCCUUUCGGCUGCCUUCUCAAGUAUUCCAAUAUCCAAUACCGAAGACUGCUGCUGGAGAGCCUCCUUACAACUCUGGUUGUCAUGUUUACUGAAGACGCAAUGCCUUCUAGCUCCCCAGCUGAGAGAGGAAGAGGUUCACCACAAAGAAAUGCCUUUACCUGAUAAUGGGCUGCGAGAUCCAUAUAUCUUCUAAUGGGGGAGGUAAACUGAACAUAGCCUGGAAGUCCCAACACCCCAUGGCGUAUAGGAUUCCUGAAAUCCAUUUCAGCUGCACGCAUAGUUCGAACAAUAGCAGCACUCCUAACGGGUCCUUCUGGAAGGUGUGCAAAUGCAGAAGCGUCGAUAUUAGAUUGAGAGAGAAUAUCAUCACGUGGAUGAGCUUCUUCAACUUGGACAUCUACUUCAUCACCAAUUUGUACACCAAUAGACACCCACGAAGAAGCUUGAAUUCCAAUCUCCGUCAACAGUAUUGCGGCUAUUCGGUCUUUGAUGAAUCUAAGGACCAGGGCACGAUACCGUUUCCCUUUCGGCUGCCUUCUCAAGUAUUCCAAUAUCCAAUACCGAAGACUGCUGCUGGAGAGCCUCCUUACAACUCUGGUUGUCAUGUUUACUGAAGACGCAAUGCCUUCUAGCUCCCCAGCUGAGAGAGGAAGAGGUUCACCACAAAGAAAUGCCUUUACCUGAUAAUGGGCUGCGAGAUCCAUAUAUCUUCUAAUGGGGGAGGUAAACUGAACAUAGCCUGGAAGUCCCAACACCCCAUGGCGUAUAGGAUUCCUGAAAUCCAUUUCAGCUGCACGCAUAGUUCGAACAAUAGCAGCACUCCUAACGGGUCCUUCUGGAAGGUGUGCAAAUGCAGAAGCGUCGAUAUUAGAUUGAGGCUGUCCACGGUAUGGUAAAGGGAUGUUGUUAUGAGAACCAAAAGUGGC